UCCUACGGGAGGCAGCAGUGGGGAAUAUUGGACAAUGGGGGGAACCCUGAUCCAGCCAUGCCGCGUGUGUGAAGAAGGCCCUCGGGUUGUAAAGCACUUUCAGCGUGGAAGAACGCCUAGCGGUUAAUACCCGCUAGGAAAGACAUCACUCGCAGAAGAAGCACCGGCUAACUCCGUGCCAGCAGCCGCGGUAAUACGGAGGGUGCAAGCGUUAAUCGGAAUUACUGGGCGUAAAGCGCGCGUAGGUGGCUUGAUAAGCCGGUUGUGAAAGCCCCGGGCUCAACCUGGGAACGGCAUCCGGAACUGUCAAGCUAGAGUACAGGAGAGGAAGGUAGAAUUCCCGGUGUAGCGGUGAAAUGCGUAGAGAUCGGGAGGAAUACCAGUGGCGAAGGCGGCCUUCUGGACUGACACUGACACUGAGGUGCGAAAGCGUGGGUAGCAAACAGGAUUAGAUACCCUGGUAGUCCACGCCGUAAACGAUGUCGACCAGCCGUUGGGUGCCUAGCGCACUUUGUGGCGAAGUUAACGCGAUAAGUCGACCGCCUGGGGAGUACGGCCGCAAGGUUAAAACUCAAAUGAAUUGACGG
Molecule: ribosomal RNA, 587 nt
Filed under: uncultured bacterium
Lineage: Bacteria
Description: bacterial SSU rRNA
Rfam family: Bacterial small subunit ribosomal RNA
Source: RNAcentral